UUUGGAAUAUUGGACAAUGGGCGAAAGCCUGAUCCAGCGACGCCGCGUGGACGAUGAAGGCCUUCGGGUUGUAAAGUCCUUUUGGCAGGGAAAAAUCUUUUGAUGGUACCUGCAGAAUAAGAGGUUGCUAACUCUGUGCCAGCAGCAGCGGUAAUACAGAGACCUCGAGCGUUAUCCGGAAUCAUUGGGCGUAAAGCGUACCGAUAGGUGGUCUUGUAAGCCAGAUGUGAAAGACCCAAGCUUAACUUGGGGGUUGUCAUUUGGAACUGCAAGACUUUGAGGGGCAAAGAGGAAGCUGGAACGAACGGUGUAGUAGUGAAAUGCGUUGAUAUCGUUCGGAACACCAAUAGCGAAGGCAGGCUUCUGGGUGCCACCUGACACUGCUAGGACGAAAGCGUGG
This 400-nucleotide ribosomal RNA is filed under the name uncultured bacterium. RNAcentral describes it as "bacterial SSU rRNA". It matches the Rfam family "Bacterial small subunit ribosomal RNA", at positions 355 to 764 of the family's 1533-position model. The record is from RNAcentral.